ACCGCCGACAAGCUGCAUGGGGUAGGAGGUCAUCCUUUUCAAGGCUUGUCACUCUUUGUUUCCAGGUUUCAGCUCGCUGUGAAAAAGAGCAGAGCAGAGGCCGCCGCAGAAAGGAACGCUGCAGUGGCGCGGAAGAUGAGUAGAGGGGGCACUGCCGGCAGGCUGCUACAGAAGCGGAAGACACUUCCCCCCUCCAUGCUGCUGCAAUACCAGGCAGGCUCAAGGCAGCAAGAUGUGGCAAAGAAGCCUUCUGCCAGGAGCUCCGGGAAGUGUCUGCCCUGUGGAAUGAAGCAGACCGCACGUGGCCCGUGU
This is a long non-coding RNA of Gallus gallus (chicken), 312 nucleotides long. RefSeq lists it as uncharacterized. Lineage: Eukaryota; Metazoa; Chordata; Aves; Galliformes; Phasianidae. The transcript is spliced from 3 exons. The record is from RefSeq and is a predicted model, not a curated record.